Molecule: long non-coding RNA, 1518 nt
Filed under: Numida meleagris (helmeted guineafowl)
Lineage: Eukaryota; Metazoa; Chordata; Aves; Galliformes; Numididae
Description: lncRNA (ENSNMEG00000003329.1)
Source: RNAcentral
GCCCUUCGAUCCAGCCUAUCCACGUCCCUCUGUAGAGCCUUUCUAUCCUCUGGCAGAUCAACACUCCCUCCCAUCUUGGUGUCGUCUGCAAACUUACUGAGGGUGCACUGAAUCCCCUCAUCAAGAUCUUUGAUAAGGAUGUUGAAUAGAAGAGGCCCCAGCACCAAGCCCUGGGGACACUGCUCAUGACUGACCGCCAACUAGAUUUAACUCCAUUGACCACAACUCUCUGGGCCUGGCCAUCCAGCCAGUGUUUCACCCAUUUUCCUGCAAUGCUGGUGGACAUCUGCAAUGGUACCGCUGGGAAUAUUUCAGGAACAGGAAAACUUAGUGACAUGUGCUCCUGCCGCUUCUUUGUUUGCUGCCUGCUGCAUGUACCUAGACUGACAAGAAAACUGUGUGCUGAAGGCAUCCUGAAGAAAGAGAGAUCUGAAGACUGCUGUGCUGUAGGGAGCUCACGUUGACUUUAACUUGGCAGAAAAUUCACAAAUUCUACAACUACAUCCUUGAAAGAGGAGAAGGGGAUGGGGCCCUUCUACAUGUGUAUGUAGAAACUGCUGAAGCUGUGAAGUUUGAUGGUUGCCUACAAUAUAGCCAUGAUGAUAUCAAGCUAAAUAUUUUGCUGUAUGAAGACAGAACUGGCCCCUUCUGGGUAAGUGUCUAGCAAGUAUUUAAAAGCCAGAGCCUUAUAAACAGCUUUUGAUGAUGGACUCUAAUGAAGGGAGUGGGAGACCAUUUAGACAUAUCUGCAUUUUGCCACAGGAGUCAAUAUUGACCUACAUAAAGUGACAAAAUAUUUCAAAACCAUACCUUAUUUUCUCCCAUUUCUGAAUUUUCCUUUCAUAAUUAAAUUUAUAUUGAAGCCUUCCCUGAUGAACAAGUUAAAAACUGACAUCUCCCAGGUAGGCACAGAGCGUACAGAGGAUAUGGAAAUUCCUCUUUUUCUCUCAGACCUACCUGGUGAGGGACCUAUCUCUGAGAAGAUUUGCUUUCUCAGACUUAACACAAUCUUCUCCAAGACCACCAAGCACACUGUAUCUUCCUCCUUUCAAGAGUAUUGAUGAUGUUUUUUUUGUUUGUUCACAAUGUUCAAACUUUUCUGUAAGAUCUUUAAUUAAUGUAGGGCACUGAAAAGUAACAAUACUGAUGAAUAGGUUUGAAAAACUUUCUGAUGUCAAGAAAUUUGCCCUUUCAACUUAUGACGUAAUUCUUAUUGGUUGUCUGUGCUUGGUUGUUCAGUUUGCACUGGUACUUGAUAUAGUUUCUGGCUUUCCAAUUGAUAGGCAAGUGUAAUCAGACAAAACAAAAUUGUAGGAGAUCUUUGUAAAGGAGAACUUAAUUUGCUUUCAGGGGGAUUCUGAAGUCUAGAAUUGAAUUUGCUGUUCCUGAUAAAACAUUUUUGACCACUCUAGUGGUUACAUAAAUUUACAAAUACACACAGACCAUAUUUUCUCUUUAAGAUACAAAUAAGGAUAUGAAGUGCUUUCUUUUACAUUUUUACUAUUUGCUCAGCUGUGU